Molecule: ribosomal RNA, 536 nt
Filed under: uncultured archaeon
Lineage: Archaea
Description: bacterial SSU rRNA
Rfam family: Archaeal small subunit ribosomal RNA
Source: RNAcentral
CGGGGUGCACCAGGCGCGAAAACUUUACAAUGCUGGCAACAGCGAUAAGGGGACCUCGAGUGCCAGGAUACAAUCUUGGCUGUCGUAAUGCCUAAAAAGCAUUGCAUAGCAAGGGCCGGGCAAGACCGGUGCCAGCCGCCGCGGUAACACCGGCGGCUCGAGUGGUAACCGUUAUUAUUGGGUCUAAAGGGUCUGUAGCCGGCCGGAUAAGUCUCUUGGGAAAUCCAGCAGCUCAACUGUUGGGCUUUCAGGAGAUACUGCCUGGCUCGAGGCCGGGAGAGGUGAGAGGUACUUCAGGGGUAGGGGUGAAGUCUUGUAAUCCUUGAAGGACCACCAGUGGCGAAGGCGUCUCACCAGAACGGACCUGACGGCAAGGGACGAAAGCUAGGGGCACGAACCGGAUUAGAUACCCGGGUAGUCCUAGCCGUAAACGAUACUCGCUAGGUGUCGGCCACGGUGCGACCGUUGUCGGUGCCGUAGGGAAGCCGUGAAGCGAGCCACCUGGGAAGUACGGCCGCAAGGCUGAAACUUAAAGG